UGAGUAGAGUGGCGCACGGGUGAGUAACGCGUGGGUAAUCUACCCUUGGAUUUGGGAUAACUCUGCGAAAGUGGAGCUAAUACCGGAUAGUCUGGCUUUAAAUAAGAAGUCGGUAAAGGAUGCCUCUGCAUAUGCAUUCGUCCGAGGAUGAGCCCGCGUCUCAUUAGCUAGUUGGUAGGGUAAUGGCCUACCAAGGCAACGAUGAGUAGCUGGUCUGAGAGGAUGAUCAGCCACACUGGAACUGAAACACGGUCCAGACUCCUACGGGAGGCAGCAGUGGGGAAUAUUGCGCAAUGGGCGAAAGCCUGACGCAGCAACGCCGUGUGAGGGAUGAAGGCUUUCGGGUCGUAAACCUCUGUCGGAAGGGAAGAACGGGCAUUGGUCUAAUAGGCCUUUGUUUUGACGGUACCUUUAGAGGAAGCACCGGCUAACUCCGUGCCAGCAGCCGCGGUAAUACGGAGGGUGCAAGCGUUAUUCGGAAUUACUGGGCGUAAAGCGCACGUAGGCGGCCUUGUAAGUCAGGGGUGAAAUCCCACGGCUCAACCGUGGAACUGCCUUUGAAACUGCAGGGCUUGAAUCCUGGAGAGGGUGGCGGAAUUCCUGGUGUAGGAGUGAAAUCCGUAGAUAUCAGGAGGAACACCGGUGGCGAAGGCGGCCACCUGGACAGGUAUUGACGCUGAGGUGCGAAAGUGUGGGGAGCAAACAGGAUUAGAUACCCUGGUAGUCCACACCGUAAACGAUGGAUACUAGGUGUCGGGGACUUGAUCUUCGGUGCCGUAGCUAACGCGUUAAGUAUCCCGCCUGGGGAGUACGGUCGCAAGGCUGAAACUCAAAGAAAUUGACGGGGGCCCGCACAAGCGGUGGAGUAUGUGGGUUUAAUUCGAUGCAAC
Molecule: ribosomal RNA, 890 nt
Filed under: delta proteobacterium FM3-G1
Lineage: Bacteria; Deltaproteobacteria
Description: bacterial SSU rRNA
Rfam family: Bacterial small subunit ribosomal RNA
Source: RNAcentral